AUCCGGAGAUCUCUGAAUGGGGGAACCCACCUAGGAUAACCUAGGUAUCUUGUACUGAAUCCAUAGGUGCAAGAGGCGAACCAGGGGAACUGAAACAUCUAAGUACCCUGAGGAAAAGAAAUCAACCGAGAUUCCCUUAGUAGUGGCGAGCGAACGGGGAUUAGCCCUUAAGCUUCAUUGAUUUUAGCGGAACGCUCUGGAAAGUGCGGCCAUAGUGGGUGAUAGCCCCGUACGCGAAAGGAUCUUUGAAGUGAAAUCGAGUAGGACGGAGCACGAGAAACUUUGUCUGAACAUGGGGGGACCAUCCUCCAAGGCUAAAUACUACUGACUGACCGAUAGUGAACCAGUACCGUGAGGGAAAGGCGAAAAGAACCCCGGAGAGGGGAGUGAAAUAGAACCUGAAACCGUAUGCGUACAAGCAGUGGGAGCCUACUUGUUAGGUGACUGCGUACCUUUUGUAUAAUGGGUCAGCGACUUAUAUUCAGUGGCAAGCUUAACCGUAUAGGGUAGGCGUAGCGAAAGCGAGUCUUAAUAGGGCGUUUAGUCGCUGGGUAUAGACCCGAAACCGGGCGAUCUAUCCAUGAGCAGGUUGAAGGUUAGGUAACACUGACUGGAGGACCGAACCCACUCCCGUUGAAAAGGUAGGGGAUGACUUGUGGAUCGGAGUGAAAGGCUAAUCAAGCUCGGAGAUAGCUGGUUCUCCUCGAAAGCUAUUUAGGUAGCGCCUCAUGUAUCACUCUGGGGGGUAGAGCACUGUUUCGGCUAGGGGGUCAUCCCGACUUACCAAACCGAUGCAAACUCCGAAUACCCAGAAGUGCCGAGCAUGGGAGACACACGGCGGGUGCUAACGUCCGUCGUGAAAAGGGAAACAACCCAGACCGCCAGCUAAGGUCCCAAAGUUGUGGUUAAGUGGUAAACGAUGUGGGAAGGCUUAGACAGCUAGG
Molecule: ribosomal RNA, 944 nt
Filed under: Pseudomonas aeruginosa
Lineage: Bacteria; Pseudomonadati; Pseudomonadota; Gammaproteobacteria; Pseudomonadales; Pseudomonadaceae
Description: partial 23S ribosomal RNA
Rfam family: Bacterial large subunit ribosomal RNA
Source: RNAcentral